GGGGAUAUGGGGUAGCCUGGUUAGCCUAUGAGGUUUGGGACCUUAUGACCCCGGUUCAAAUCCGGGUAUCCCCA
This 74-nucleotide transfer RNA is filed under the name Candidatus Pacearchaeota archaeon. RNAcentral's name for it is "tRNA-Pro". It matches the Rfam family "tRNA". Rfam says of the family: Transfer RNA (tRNA) molecules are approximately 80 nucleotides in length. Their secondary structure includes four short double-helical elements and three loops (D, anti-codon, and T loops). The record is from RNAcentral. Lineage: Archaea; Nanobdellati.